Molecule: ribosomal RNA, 386 nt
Filed under: uncultured bacterium
Lineage: Bacteria
Description: bacterial SSU rRNA
Rfam family: Bacterial small subunit ribosomal RNA
Source: RNAcentral
AUUGAACGCUGGCGGAAUGCUUUACACAUGCAAGUCGAACGGCAGCACGGGGCAACCUGGUGGCGAGUGGCGAACGGGUGAGUAAUAUAUCGGAACGUGCCCAAUCGUGGGGGAUAACGUAGCGAAAGUUACGCUAAUACCGCAUACGAUCUACGGAUGAAAGCGGGGGAUCGCAAGACCUCGCGCGAAUGGAGCGGCCGAUAUCAGAUUAGGUAGUUGGUGGGGUAAAGGCUCACCAAGCCAACGAUCUGUAGCUGGUCUGAGAGGACGACCAGCCACACUGGAACUGAGACACGGUCCAGACUCCUACGGGAGGCAGCAGUGGGGAAUUUUGGACAAUGGGCGCAAGCCUGAUCCAGCCAUUCCGCGUGCAGGAUGAAGGCCUU